Molecule: ribosomal RNA, 253 nt
Filed under: uncultured bacterium
Lineage: Bacteria
Description: partial 16S ribosomal RNA
Rfam family: Bacterial small subunit ribosomal RNA
Source: RNAcentral
UACAGAGGUCCCGAGCGUUGUUCGGAUUCAUUGGGCGUAAAGGGUGCGUAGGUGGCGCUGUAAGUGGGGUGUGAAAUCCCGGGGCUUAACUCCGGAACUGCAUUCCAUACUGCGAUGCUUGAGGACUGGAGAGGAGACUGGAAUUUACGGUGUAGCAGUGAAAUGCGUAGAGAUCGUAAGGAAGACCAGUGGCGAAGGCGGGUCUCUGGACAGUUCCUGACACUGAGGCACGAAGGCCAGGGGAGCAAACGGG